RNAcentral lists this ribosomal RNA (342 nucleotides) under uncultured bacterium. Its description in RNAcentral is "bacterial SSU rRNA". It matches the Rfam family "Bacterial small subunit ribosomal RNA", at positions 8 to 350 of the family's 1533-position model. The record is from RNAcentral.
AGAGUUUGAUCCUGGCUCAGGAUGAACGCUAGCGACAGGCUUAACACAUGCAAGUCGAGGGGCAGCGGGGGUAGCAAUACCCGCCGGCGACCGGCGCACGGUGAGUAACGCGUAUGCAACUUACCUAUCAGAGGGGGAUAACCCGGCGAAAGUCGGACUAAUACCGCAUGAAGCAGGGCCCCGCAUGGGGAUAUUUGCUAAAGAUUCAUCGCUGAUAGAUAGGCAUGCGUUCCAUUAGGCAGUUGGCGGGGUAACGGCCACCAAGCCGACGAUGGAUAGGGGUUCUGAGAGGAAGGUCCCCACAUUGGUACUGAGACACGGACCAAACUCCUACGGGAGGCA